UGGGGAAUAUUGGGCAAUGGGCGAAAGCCUGACCCAGCGACGCCGCGUGGGUGAUGAAGGCCUUCGGGUUGUAAAGCCCUUUCGUGCGGAAAGAACAGCCCUGUAGCGAAUACCUACAGGGUUUGACGGUACCGCAGGAAGAAGCACCGGCUAACUCCGUGCCAGCAGCCGCGGUAAUACGGAGGGUGCAAGCGUUGUGCGGAAUUAUUGGGCGUAAAGGACGCGUAGGCGGUUGUGAUAGUCAGAUGUGAAAUCCUCUGGCUCAACUGGAGAACUGCAUCUGAAACUUCACAACUAGAGUACAGGAGAGGGAAACGGAAUUCCCGGUGUAGAGGUGAAAUUCGUAGAUAUCGGGAGGAACACCAGUGGCGAAGGCGGUUUCCUGGCCUGAUACUGACGCUGAGGCGUGAAAGCGUGGGGAGCAAACAGG
RNAcentral lists this ribosomal RNA (430 nucleotides) under uncultured bacterium. RNAcentral describes it as "bacterial SSU rRNA". It matches the Rfam family "Bacterial small subunit ribosomal RNA", at positions 355 to 776 of the family's 1533-position model. The record is from RNAcentral.